Molecule: ribosomal RNA, 398 nt
Filed under: uncultured bacterium
Lineage: Bacteria
Description: bacterial SSU rRNA
Rfam family: Bacterial small subunit ribosomal RNA
Source: RNAcentral
GGAAUCUUGGACAAUGGGCGAAAGCCUGAUCCAGCGACGCCGCGUGACUGAUGAAGCCCCUCGGGGUGUAAAAGUCUUUCAGCGGGGACAAUGAUGAUGGUACCCGCAGAAGCAGCUGCGGCUAACUACGUGCCAGCAGCCGCGGUAAUACGUAGGCCGCUAGCGUUGUCCGGAAUUACUGGGCGUAACGCGAGUGUAGGCGGUUUGCCAAGUCCGUUGUGAAAUGUCCCGGCUCAACUGGGAGGGUGCGCCGGAAACUGGCAGGCUAGAGUGCGGAAUGGGAGAGUGGAAUUCCUGGUGUAGCGGUGAAAUGCGUAGAUAUCAGGAGGAACACCGGCGGUGAAGACGGCUCUCGGGACCGCCACUGACGCUGAGACUCGAAAGCGUGGGGAGCAAAC